RNAcentral lists this transfer RNA (55 nucleotides) under Tetragnatha puella. Its description in RNAcentral is "partial tRNA-Ile". Lineage: Eukaryota; Metazoa; Arthropoda; Arachnida; Araneae; Tetragnathidae. The record is from RNAcentral.
UUAUGCCUGAUAAAAGGGUUAAUUUGAUAGAUUAAAUAAUGAGAUUAUUUUAACU